Molecule: microRNA precursor, 89 nt
Filed under: Fragaria vesca subsp. vesca
Lineage: Eukaryota; Viridiplantae; Streptophyta; Magnoliopsida; Rosales; Rosaceae
Description: Fragaria vesca miR156b stem-loop (fve-MIR156b)
Gene: fve-MIR156b
Source: miRBase by way of RNAcentral
UGUUGACAGAAGAGAGUGAGCACAACCCGGCAUUGGUGGAAGAGAGCUUUGUCACUGUUGGGAGUGUGCUCGCUCUUCUUCUGUCAGCA